UAAUUUUUUAUUGCCUUUAAAGAAUUUUGAAAUUUAUUUAGAUAUUGAUAUCUACGUAUAAAGUUAAUUUUGUCUUUCCCUAAAAUUUGGUCGAUAAUUUUUUUUUUUGUUUUACCACAUUGCAACUUACAAUAAUAUAUAUAGUAAUUGGCACCACAUAUUAAUUCAUUACUGUAAUUUUUUUUGCUUUUUGAUUAAAUAUCAAAUACUUAUCAUAGAUUGCCUAAUAUAUGCCCAAAGGGAACAAUGGAUUUCAUUAAUGGAAAUCAACACAAUUAAACAGAACAUAUUUGUUUGUUCAGAUCACAUCCUUAGAAGUGAUUUCUUAUAUAAGGAAGAUAAUAUUAUCAGUAGCCAGACUUUAUUAACAAAAUCAGCUCUACCUCAAAUGUAAUUUUUUUUUAAAUAUAUUUUUCUAGUAUAAAAAAAUCGUCACAAAAAGGAUUAGUGUUACUCAUAUAAGCUUUAUUUAUACCUAAUACUUAUUAAAUUAGGUAUGUAUGUAAAACUAUUUUUUUACUAGGAUUUCUGAUGCACUGGUUAAAAACACAGCAGCCGAUAAUUCAGUUAAUUUACCAAGUGAUUUACCCUUCAAAGCUGCAGGGGUAGCUUUCCUGAAGAGUGCAAAAACUUCUUUAGCUUCCAAAAUGGUAUAUAGUACAAACAGUGAAGCUAAUAUAGACAAAUCUGAUCAUUCAUCAUCAACAAUAACUGCAUCUGAGAUUAAUAGUUCUACAGUAACUGUGGGGUCUAGGUCAAUAAUUACUAUUUCUCAUCCAAGCCGUUUUUGUUAACUGCUACACAUUCCCUGACUCUGCCAAGGAAAAGGGUAAAAUCAAAAUGAUAUCCUGAGGACCUAAGCACUAAUGAUUCCACCGUUUCAAAAACUAAAUCACUUGUUACAAAAUUAUGGAAAAAAAUAAAGAACAAAAAAUUAAAAUUCGAAGAUUGCAAAAAACAAAUUUGCCCCAAAAAAAUUAAAUUAAAUGUCUCAAGUCAUUAUUAAAAUACUUAAGAAAUAAUAACAUGAUUUUCGA
RNAcentral lists this long non-coding RNA (1037 nucleotides) under Anthonomus grandis grandis. RNAcentral describes it as "uncharacterized LOC126750439". Lineage: Eukaryota; Metazoa; Arthropoda; Insecta; Coleoptera; Curculionidae. The record is from RNAcentral.